Molecule: ribosomal RNA, 169 nt
Filed under: uncultured Rhizobium sp.
Lineage: Bacteria; Pseudomonadati; Pseudomonadota; Alphaproteobacteria; Hyphomicrobiales; Rhizobiaceae
Description: partial 16S ribosomal RNA
Rfam family: Bacterial small subunit ribosomal RNA
Source: RNAcentral
UCCUACGGGAGGCAGCAGUGGGGAAUAUUGGACAAUGGGCGCAAGCCUGAUCCAGCCAUGCCGCGUGAGUGAUGAAGGCCUUAGGGUUGUAAAGCUCUUUCACCGGAGAAGAUAAUGACGGUAUCCGGAGAAGAAGCCCCGGCUAACUUCGUGCCAGCAGCCCGCGGUA